This 301-nucleotide ribosomal RNA is filed under the name uncultured bacterium. Its description in RNAcentral is "partial 16S ribosomal RNA". It matches the Rfam family "Bacterial small subunit ribosomal RNA", at positions 509 to 809 of the family's 1533-position model. The record is from RNAcentral.
CAGCCGCCGCGGUAAUACGUAGGGUGCAAGCGUUAAUCGGAAUUACUGGGCGUAAAGCGUGCGCAGGCGGUUAUAUAAGACAGAUGUGAAAUCCCCGGGCUCAACCUGGGAACUGCAUUUGUGACUGUAUAGCUAGAGUACGGCAGAGGGGGAUGGAAUUACGCGUGUAGCAGUGAAAUGCGUAGAUAUGCGGAGGAACACCGAUGGCGAAGGCAAUCCCCUGGGCCUGUACUGACGCUCAUGCACGAAAGCGUGGGGAGCAAACAGGAUUAGAUACCCCUGUAGUCCCUGUCUCUUAUAA